CCGUUACAUUCUAAAAUUUUUCCC
Molecule: microRNA, 24 nt
Filed under: Ananas comosus (pineapple)
Lineage: Eukaryota; Viridiplantae; Streptophyta; Magnoliopsida; Poales; Bromeliaceae
Description: microRNA s1274_c028b
Source: RNAcentral